RNAcentral lists this ribosomal RNA (851 nucleotides) under Escherichia coli. RNAcentral describes it as "partial 23S ribosomal RNA". It matches the Rfam family "Bacterial large subunit ribosomal RNA", at positions 418 to 1268 of the family's 2925-position model. The record is from RNAcentral. Lineage: Bacteria; Pseudomonadati; Pseudomonadota; Gammaproteobacteria; Enterobacterales; Enterobacteriaceae.
CGGGACACGUGGUAUCCUGUCUGAAUAUGGGGGGACCAUCCUCCAAGGCUAAAUACUCCUGACUGACCGAUAGUGAACCAGUACCGUGAGGGAAAGGCGAAAAGAACCCCGGCGAGGGGAGUGAAAAAGAACCUGAAACCGUGUACGUACAAGCAGUGGGAGCACGCUUAGGCGUGUGACUGCGUACCUUUUGUAUAAUGGGUCAGCGACUUAUAUUCUGUAGCAAGGUUAACCGAAUAGGGGAGCCGAAGGGAAACCGAGUCUUAACUGGGCGUUAAGUUGCAGGGUAUAGACCCGAAACCCGGUGAUCUAGCCAUGGGCAGGUUGAAGGUUGGGUAACACUAACUGGAGGACCGAACCGACUAAUGUUGAAAAAUUAGCGGAUGACUUGUGGCUGGGGGUGAAAGGCCAAUCAAACCGGGAGAUAGCUGGUUCUCCCCGAAAGCUAUUUAGGUAGCGCCUCGUGAAUUCAUCUCCGGGGGUAGAGCACUGUUUCGGCAAGGGGGUCAUCCCGACUUACCAACCCGAUGCAAACUGCGAAUACCGGAGAAUGUUAUCACGGGAGACACACGGCGGGUGCUAACGUCCGUCGUGAAGAGGGAAACAACCCAGACCGCCAGCUAAGGUCCCAAAGUCAUGGUUAAGUGGGAAACGAUGUGGGAAGGCCCAGACAGCCAGGAUGUUGGCUUAGAAGCAGCCAUCAUUUAAAGAAAGCGUAAUAGCUCACUGGUCGAGUCGGCCUGCGCGGAAGAUGUAACGGGGCUAAACCAUGCACCGAAGCUGCGGCAGCGACGCUGAUGCGUUGUUGGGUAGGGGAGCGUUCUGUAAGCCUGCGAAGGUGUGCUGUGAGG